This is a long non-coding RNA of Sapajus apella (tufted capuchin), 260 nucleotides long. RefSeq lists it as uncharacterized. The transcript is spliced from 3 exons. NCBI's taxonomy places the organism in Eukaryota, Metazoa, Chordata, Mammalia, Primates, Cebidae. The record is from RefSeq and is a predicted model, not a curated record.
UGGUGGUUUUCUGACUCUGCACCAAGAACCGCCACACCAAGGCAGCAGCAAAACCACCUUGCCGACCACAAGAGUUGCGCUGGCGACUCAUGGGGCUCCUCCGCUGGGAAUCUCCUGGUGCGUGAGCAACAAAAAUUCAUCUGAAAGUGUGAUGUCCUCUCGUUCUCUGCGCUUUCACUGGGAGCUACAAUCCUGAGCUGCUAGUGAUAAGCCAUUUUGGAUCUCUCUCCAACCCCAAGUUCUUUUACUUGUAUUUAUUA